CUGAAGACUCUACUUGACUAGCUGAGAGGAGGUGCAUGGCCGUCGUCAGUUCGUACUGUGAAGCAUCCUGUUAAGUCAGGCAACGAGCGAGACCCACGCCAACAGUUGCCAGGCUCGGUCCUCCGGGAUGGUGGGGACACUGUUGGGACCGCUCUGCUAAAGGAGGAGGAAGGAAUGGGCAACGGUAGGUCAGCAUGCCCCGAAUUAUCUGGGCUACACGCGGGCUACAAUGGGUGGGACAAUGGGUAUCGACACCGAAAGGUGAAGGCAAUCUCCUAAACCCAUCCGUAGUUCGGAUUGUGGGCUGCAACUCGCCCACAUGAAGCUGGAAUCUGUAGUAAUCGUGUCUCAAAAUGGCACGGUGAAUAUCGUCCCUGCUCCUU
Molecule: ribosomal RNA, 383 nt
Filed under: uncultured Methanomicrobiales archaeon
Lineage: Archaea; Methanobacteriati; Methanobacteriota; Methanomicrobia; Methanomicrobiales
Description: bacterial SSU rRNA
Rfam family: Archaeal small subunit ribosomal RNA
Source: RNAcentral